UAUUAAUAAUUAAAAUCGCUUUGCAAUUUCUAUACGUGUCUAAUCUACCUUUUUAGCGCCAAAACGUGUGCUGGUUUAGAUCACGUUCUAUCGUACAACUUCUAGUGUUCUUAAUGGUGCAGAUUUGUCUCAUACAUAUAUUAUAUACCAUGUAUAUAAUAAACAAAUUUAAUAUUAAGGAACAUGCACUUUGUUUAAUAUUCGCACAUUAAUCUUUGUGGUCGAAUGUCGAAUAAGCCACGUCAUUGAACUAUUUUUUCGAAAAGACAUACAAUUUUUGAACGAAUAUGAUAUAUAUUUGUACAUAGAUAUACAUACAUAUGUAUAUGUAUAUGUUUAUUUUGCAUAUGUAGAUUCAUGCAAGUUCGCUUUCGGUUUGUUGGCAAUUGCGAAACGCUCGCACAUCUUUCUGUCAGCUCAGUAGCAUGAACCCAAAGUAGACCGGACCUUAGGAGUGUCAGAAUCGCUGGCGUGAUCAUUCACCGCGGCGAUGAGGUAAGUUGAGGGAAGGUCAAAUACAAUGUUAUAUACAUAUGUAUACAUAUACAUAUGUAUACAUAAAAGUGUCUGUGUAAGCGAUAGGUGGGUAUAUGAAAGCUAUUUUUUCAUAACGCUUCAGUUCAUCGUGGCCAGAGCGAGACAAAUUUUGUACUUGGCGGACAAAGUAGUGAAUCGUACUUUGUAGUUGAAUGGAAAAAAUCACGUAGUAAAGGCAUUCAUAUUUUAUGAUUGUUGUUCAUUAGCAAAAAGUCAUAAAAUGGCGAGUUACCUCGUUUCGCGAACUUUGGUUGCUAACGCGACUAGCGACUAGCGCAACCAGCUUGCAGCUUCCAUUAAUCAUGUAUUGAAAGCACACUCCAAUAGCGUGGUCAGCGUCAUCAUCCGCUAAACCACCACUACCACCACAAACACCAGUCUCAACAGCAUCAACGAUCACAGACAACAACAUCUGUGUCUCUGGUGCUAUGUUCAACGUACUAUUGCCGAUUGUGCUCACGCGAAAACCGGUUCUUUGCCACAGUCACAAAGCAUCAGCAUACUCCAUCGUGCCAAAUAACAACAGCAGCAGCAACCACGGCAGCAACGCCAACAAGAGUAGUAGUAAUAACAGCAUCAGCUGUUUUUCCCCAAAACCAAUACGAACCUACAUGCAUACAGCAGACACAGAGCCAAACAAACACACACACACACCAUAUAGACACAUGAGGUGGCGGUUAAGUUUCAUUGCUUGCUCUUGCACAUAUCUAUUUACCACAUGUAUACAUACAGACGCCGCGCCGCACAUGGACUUCGACAAUGAAAUCACGCUGCUGGUGCGUGAUAGCCGAAGUACUUAUUUGUGUAUGUGUGUGUGCAUGUUGUUCAACGCAGUCGUG
Bactrocera dorsalis (oriental fruit fly) is the source of this 1376-nucleotide long non-coding RNA. RefSeq lists it as uncharacterized. The transcript is spliced from 2 exons. The record is from RefSeq and is a predicted model, not a curated record. NCBI's taxonomy places the organism in Eukaryota, Metazoa, Arthropoda, Insecta, Diptera, Tephritidae.